UAGUCCACGCCGUAAACGAUGAUUACUGGUUGUGCGCGAUACACAGUGCGCGACUGAGGGAAACCAUUAAGUAAUCCACCUGGGGAGUACGUUCGCAAGAAUGAAACUCAAAGGAAUUGACGGGGGGCCCGCACAAGCGGAGGAACAUGUGGUUUAAUUCGAUGAUACGCGAGGAACCUUACCUGGGCUUAAAUGUAGAGUGCAUUAUUUGGAAACAGAUAUUUUCUUCGGAACUCUUUACAAGGUGCUGCAUGGUUGUCGUCAGCUCGUGCCGUGAGGUGUCGGGUUAAGUCCCAUAACGAGCGCAACCCCUACUGCUAGUUGCCAUCGGGUAAUGCCGGGGACUCUAGCGGGACUGCCGGUGUAAACCGCGAGGAAGGUGGGGAUGGACGUCAAAUCAGCACGGGCCCUUAUGUCCAGGGGCUACACACGUGUUAC
Molecule: ribosomal RNA, 438 nt
Filed under: uncultured bacterium
Lineage: Bacteria
Description: bacterial SSU rRNA
Rfam family: Bacterial small subunit ribosomal RNA
Source: RNAcentral